Molecule: ribosomal RNA, 392 nt
Filed under: uncultured bacterium
Lineage: Bacteria
Description: partial 16S ribosomal RNA
Rfam family: Bacterial small subunit ribosomal RNA
Source: RNAcentral
AUACGGAGGAUGCGAGCGUUAUCCGGAUUUAUUGGGUUUAAAGGGAGCGUAGGCGGGAGCUUAAGUCAGCGGUUAAAUGGUGCGGCUCAACCGUGCCCUGCCGUUGAAACUGGGUUUCUUGAGAGUGCAAGAGGCGGAUGGAAUUCAUGGUGUAGCGGUGAAAUGCUUAGAUAUCAUGAAGAACUCCGAUUGCGAAGGCAGUCCGCUGGGGCACGUCUGACGCUGAUGCUCGAAGGUGCGGGAAUCAAACAGGAUUAGAUACCCUGGUAGUCCGCACGGUAAACGAUGAUUACCCGCUGUCGGCGGCAGACAGUCGGCGGCCAAGCGAAAGCGAUAUGUAAUCCACCUGGGGAGUACGCCGGCAACGGUGAAACUCAAAUGAAUUGACGGGG